GACGAACGCUGGCGGCGUGCUUAACACAUGCAAGUCGAACGGUAAGGCCCUUCGGGGUACACGAGUGGCGAACGGGUGAGUAACACGUGGGUGAUCUGCCCUGCACUUCGGGAUAAGCCUGGGAAACUGGGUCUAAUACCGGAUAGGACCACUGCCUGCAUGGGUGGUGGUGGAAAGCUUUUGCGGUGUGGGAUGGGCCCGCGGCCUAUCAGCUUGUUGGUGGGGUGAUGGCCUACCAAGGCGACGACGGGUAGCCGGCCUGAGAGGGUGACCGGCCGCACUGGGACUGAGAUACGGCCCAGACUCCUACGGGAGGCAGCAGUGGUGAAUAUUGCACAAUGGGCGCAAGCCUGAUGCAGCGACGCCGCGUGAGGGAUGACGGCCUUCGGGUUGUAAACCUCUUUCAGCACCGACGAAGCGCAAGUGACGGUAGGUGCAGAAGAAGGACCGGCCAACUACGUGCCAGCAGCCACCGUAA
Molecule: ribosomal RNA, 478 nt
Filed under: uncultured bacterium
Lineage: Bacteria
Description: partial 16S ribosomal RNA
Rfam family: Bacterial small subunit ribosomal RNA
Source: RNAcentral